AUUGAACGCUGGCGGCAGGCCUAACACAUGCAAGUCGAACGAGUGGCGCACGUGUGAGUCAUUUCUGGGAAACUGCCUGAUGGAGGGGGAUCACUACUGGAAACUGUAGCUAAUACCGCAUAACAUCGCAUGUCCCCAUAUGUUCUUAGCUUGUAGGUGGGGUAAAGGCUCACCUAGGCGACGAUCCCGAGCUGGUCUGAGAGGAUGACCAGCAAAACUGGAACUGAGACACGGCCCAGACUCCUACGGGAGGCAGAAGUGGGGAAUAUUGCACAAUGGGCGCAAGCCUGAUGCAGCCAUGCCGCGUGUAUGAAGAAGGCUUUAGGGUUGUAAAGUACUUUCAGCGGGGAGGCGUUAACCGAAGAAGAAGCACCGGCUAACUCCGUGCCAGCAGCCGCGGUAAUAC
RNAcentral lists this ribosomal RNA (406 nucleotides) under uncultured bacterium. RNAcentral describes it as "partial 16S ribosomal RNA". It matches the Rfam family "Bacterial small subunit ribosomal RNA", at positions 30 to 526 of the family's 1533-position model. The record is from RNAcentral.